Anguilla rostrata (American eel) is the source of this 1840-nucleotide long non-coding RNA. RefSeq lists it as uncharacterized. The record is from RefSeq and is a predicted model, not a curated record. The transcript is spliced from 2 exons. Lineage: Eukaryota; Metazoa; Chordata; Actinopteri; Anguilliformes; Anguillidae.
AAAGCAUCUAACGGAAAUCAUGCUGGAGCAACUAGCUGACCCUCACCGACCAAGGAUCAACAAACAGCACCGGAAUAUCUGGUUACUUGCAAGAUCGAGCAUCUGGGAUUCCGGCUGUCCAGCUCUUUUCCGAAAAUGCUUAUCUACUGUAUGGAUAAUUAAAUCAUCAAUCAGAAAGGGUCGGACCUAUUGAUGCUUUUGUUCAAAGCCAAUCAGAUCCCAGGGAGCAAGACAUAGCAGAAGAUGGAGAUGUGAAACAUCUGGAAUUCAGAAAUUUUCCAAAGACUGUAGAUCAUUAACCAAUUCUGAGGCCGAAUCCGCUGGGAGAAGUUUAGUGUCUGACGUCUGAUGUCAUUCGUGUCUUAGUUUAUUCGCUAAUGAAUCGCUAAUGAAUACGUAUUAUUAUUAUUAUUAUUAUUAUUAUUAUUAUUAUUAUUAUUAUUAUUAUUAUUAAUGUUGUUGUUUUGUUAUUAUUAUUAUUAGUAGUAGUAUUAGUAUCUAUAAUAAUGAUAAUUAUGGUGGCAGUUGGGUUUUUUAUUUAAUUUUUACUGUUUUUUGAGGAUAUACACGUUUAUAUGUUUAUUAUGAAUUUAAAAGGAAUAGUAAAAUUAUCAUCCCAUGUUAUAUAAAAGAGGCUGGAUUAAUUUAUAUUUUAAUUACACCUUUUUUUAUUAAAAGUAGCGAAUUUGUUCGUUUGUUAUUCAUUGAUUUUUGGUUUGUCUGUUUAGUCAUAAUUUGCAGGUAUGUACCAGAAGAAAUGCCAAACGCUUCCUUUCAGCGCAUUCAGGGGUAAGUAAAAACCUUGAUACCGUCUUUAAAAAUAGACAUUGCCUUUUAGCAUGCAUUUUAAUCCAGAGUAAGCUAUUUCCGCACAGUCUACUCUGGAGCGUUACGCGACCGUCCGAUUUACUGGAUGAGUUUGUGGAAGUAGUCUACAGUACGUCUUUUAUGUCGCCGAUUCCUUUUUCUCUGCAGAAUUUAUAAAUAAUUUGGAAAGAUCAACGCGUGCGUUCCAUACCGCAGACAGGUUGCAGAUGGACUGAUUAAAUCCAUGUGUGCAUCAAAUGUGGUUAAACUAAAAACAACAUCAGCGACACGGACACCCUGACAUUAGCACACUUCGCAGUGCUAUCACUCAGUUAGCAGCUUGUUAAUUAACCCCUUCCACAAAUAACUUCGUUCUCUUUUCGUUUGGAUAUCAUGUAUGGCGUAAAACAGAAUUGCCACAUACGAUGAACCUAACGGGACCCAGUAGUCACACUGUUCUUAAUGAAUUUGUCAAUGCGGAAUGAACGUAUCCCCCUUUCUCUGUUUCCAAUAGCUGAAUCGAUUGCCUUAAACGUCGUGUGUAUACCGGUAUUGUGAAGAAUGUUAGAAAGUGUUACAUUGUAAAUACCAGACUUUGGUUGAAGAAGUGAGAUUAUUAUUUUACUGUGUCCGCAGUGUAGUCAAUUCAUGAGUGUUUUACAAUACAUUAAAAUAAUAAAACAAUGUAUUUUAAGUCAAGUAGAUACGUGUAUUUGCUUACCAUCUGCAGUACAAAUACAAAUACUUUGAUGUUCAAUUAAAGCCUUCAAUUAGAGCUGGCAUUUAAGAAAUUUAGACCAUAUACGGUUAUGUUUUAAUUGUUUACAAAGGUGAUACAAAAAUAAAAUAGCUUUUUGAAUAUACAGUGUAACAAACUGCUUUUAUAUUAGUCAUAUUUUUCACAGAUUUCUUUGCAUAGGUGUAGGCCUAUGUGAUGUUCAAAAUGUAACUAGUCUGUAGUUGUCUUGAUGUGGAAAAGUUUGCAUGUACAUGAUAUUGUGGUUAAUACUAUAAAUAAACAUGCUGGAUGUGA